UUAUAGGCUCAAAUUUUGUUUUUUAAUUUUGAAAAUUCAUAUUUGUAUUUCUAUCAGUUUUAUGAAUGUAAUGAUAUAUAUUUUAUUCGAAACAAAAAUUAAAUGUAACACGAAAAGUAUAUGAAAAUUUUGGAUCGUUUCAUAAAAAUCAGUUAUUGGAUUCCUAAAACCGUUUAUAAUACAAAUAUAAUUUUUGAAAAUUAUAAAAAAAAAUAAAUACAGUUGGGCCGUAAUGGAGCAACAGCAGAGCCCAGGCAUCUUAGGGAAACAGAUUGGCCCAACCCAAUUAACACAGUUCAAUUGGAUUACAUGGGAUUGGGUCGGUUCGGUGGGCCCUGAAUAGGUGGAAAAUCCGUUUUCUUGGGCUGCUUUUGAUCUAAACCGGAAACAACCACAUUUCUUCGGAUUCGGAAACAUAUCUGUCUGCGACCGCGAACUUUUCAGUAGCAGGUGAAGUCCAUCCUUAAACCCUAGCUCUCUCCUGUAAUUCUCCGAUCACGUUUUGAGAGCAGUUUGGUUUUCAACAAUGGCUAAUAUCGGCUUUAGAAAAAUUUUCUCUUCGAUACAAAAUCAUUUUCUUUCAACGUCUGCAGCAUUCUAUUCUUCUUCUUCUUGCUCCUCUGUUUCACGGCCGUUCACAGUCGAGUACCUCAUGAACUCCUGUGGGCUUUCAUUAAAAUCAGCCAUUUCAGCUUCCAAUAAGAUCCUCCUAGUCGAAAACAAUCUUAAGAAUCCCGAUUCUGUGCUUGAUUUAUUGAAGUCUCAUGGUUUCAGCAGUACCCAGGUAGCCAAAUUGAUCGAAAAGCGCCCGUCGUUACUUCUUUCUAAGGUAGAAGGUAAUCUCAAGCCCAAAAUUGUCUUCCUCGUCGGAAAUGGCUUCAAGGGUUCGUUGUUGCCAGAGCUGAUUGUUGGGAAUCCGAUAAUUUUGUUAAGAGCGCUGGAUUCUCAUAUUAAACCAUCCAUUGAAUUUCUGAAGGGAGUUCUUCAAAAUGAAGAGAAAUUUAUUGCUGCUAUUCGGCGGUCAUCGUGGUUGAUUACUUUUGGUUGGAAGGGAAUAGUGAAGCCGAAUAUAGAAUAUUUGAUCGGUGAGGGAAUUCCCAUUAGUAAUAUAUGUAAAUUUAUUCAGUUGCAGCCAAGAUCUAUGCUGCAAAAGCCUGAUAGGAUGAUUUAUUCGGUGGAAUAUGUCAAAAAACUGGGCAUUGAACCAAGCACUCCCAUGUUUGUUCAUGCUCUUAAGACGAUGACAGGUAUGAGUGAAACAACUUGGAAAAAGAAAUUUGAGGUGUUGAAGAGUCUGGGUUGGAAUGAAGAGCAGAUUGUUUCAGCUUUCAAGCGAAACCCAUACUUUAUGGCUGCUUCAGAGGAGAAAUUGAGACUGGCAACGGAUUUUUAUAUGAAUACUAUGAAUUUGGACUUGGACACAUUGGUUUCAUACCCUACAUUUUUUGUCUAUGGCAUUGAUCAAAGAAUUCGACCUAGGUACAAUGUUCUCAAAGUUCUGCAGUCGAAGAAUUUGGUUAGUAAGGAAAAAAAGAUUGAAUGGCUUUAUACAGUGAGCGAGAAGGUUUUCAGGGACAACUAUGUACUCAAGUAUGUGGACGAAGUCCCAGAACUACUGCAGAUAUAUGAUGUUACAGGCAAGAAGCAAAGGAAAGCCACUUGAUAGUGAAGAUUGUAAAGGUAAGAUUUUGAGUUUUGAGCAUUGGAAGGAUUUAAUUUGUUCCAUCAAUAUCAUCUAUUUAUGCAAGUGAAUACACUUCCCAUUUGGUGGAGGCAAUCUGUUAUGGUGUACUGAUAUAGCUUGCUUGGAAGCUGGCUCAGAUCAGAAAUGCACAUGACACCAGGUCAUGGACAAGAUGGACUCAGUCCUGGGUUGAUUUUCUCGAGUAUAAGAUAAAAAUGCCUGUUUUUGGCUCUGAAGACUGUUUUGAUCGGUAAACUAGUUUUAAUUUUCAGUAAACAAGCUGCACAAAUAUUACAGCAUGAGCUUUAC
Molecule: RNA transcript, 1993 nt
Organism: Tripterygium wilfordii
Lineage: Eukaryota; Viridiplantae; Streptophyta; Magnoliopsida; Celastrales; Celastraceae
Gene name: transcription termination factor MTERF4, chloroplastic-like
Exons: 3
Source: RefSeq, a predicted model, not a curated record